RNAcentral lists this ribosomal RNA (387 nucleotides) under Triticum aestivum (bread wheat). RNAcentral's name for it is "partial small subunit ribosomal RNA". Lineage: Eukaryota; Viridiplantae; Streptophyta; Magnoliopsida; Poales; Poaceae. The record is from RNAcentral.
AUGCAUUGCAGCAUUGUACGCAUCGAGUUAACGUCUUGUUCUUGGCUCAUCAGAUUUGGAAGGCCCCCAUCGAUCUCAUCCGUGCCCCUCCUGUGGCUCCUGGAGAUGCCAAACAGCCAACCGUGUAAGUGGAAUGCGCGGCUGGCCGGCAAGCAUGCAAUGCAAUGCAACGCACGUAGCGUACGUGCGUCAAAGACUGGUGAAAAGAUGAGACCCGCCCCCGUCCGCACGGUGCGAUUAUGUUCUUCUGAAUGGCACAUCGGCGGCCGGAGGACCACCGGCGCGCCGAGGUGGAGGAGGAUGAACCUGGCCGCGUUCGUGCGUGUGCUGAGCCACAGUUUGCUGCCAAAGUCGUCCUUGUCGGGCACCACAUUGCGUGGCUUUUGA